Molecule: long non-coding RNA, 1894 nt
Filed under: Triticum aestivum (bread wheat)
Lineage: Eukaryota; Viridiplantae; Streptophyta; Magnoliopsida; Poales; Poaceae
Description: long non-coding RNA (TAES_LNC011969)
Source: RNAcentral
GGGCUUACUUCUGUAAUUUGCAAAAAUAUCUUACGACCGGUUUUGCUACGCCACAAAACGCAGUAAAGUCUUCUUCACCGCACGCACAGGCAGGUAGAGUUCGGCAGCAAUAACGAACAUCAGUAGAUAAUAGGCUACGGUUGUAAACGUGUAGUAGCUAGAUGAAAAAUAUAGUGGAUGGAAGUAGCACCGUGGUGUAGUACUAUAAUAUACGCGUCAAUUAGACUAAUGAUGAUCAGCGGCAGCGACGGCGGCGGAGUAAUUAGCAGAUGGAUAAUGAGAACUAGUAGAACAAGCAUGGCAUCUAAAUAUUGAUCUUGUGUCAAGACUUCAGGAAAAGUGACUACAAUAUCACCUUCAUUCUUGUUCUAGUGUACUGUCUUCAUUAUUUAUUUAUGGAAUAUAUCAACAAGCACAAGCAUGACAUCUACAUAUUGAUUUUGUGCGAGACUUCAGGAAAAGUGACUUUGUUAUGGCCAUUUUGCAUAAAAAACAUGCCAUCUGCAUAUUGAUUUUGCUGGUGAAUAAAGCUAUGCCAUUUGCAUAUGUUCAGAAAAAAGCAUGUCAUUUUCUUAGUGAUUUUGCUUGAGGAAAAGUGAUCUCAAGAAUUGUCGUGGCUUGCUUAAAGUACUUGUUUUUGUCAUUAUGACCUUUUUGGAUAAGCAGAGUGUUAUUCUGGGAUGGUUUGUUUUUUACUAUGUCAACUUCGGUUCAGCAAAAAUACAAAUGUUGUUGUAUCAUACAACAGCAUAAGAUGACAUUUACUAGUGAUUUCCUGUUGUAUUUACUAGUGUUUUCCUUGUGAAAUACAGGUAUAUGCUGCUAUCUAUCCUGGUCUUGAUGGUUUCAUAUGAAGUUGUAUAUGCUAGUACAUCUUGGUGUAUAGUGAGUAUGCUAGCACUACAAUACACAGUUUGUUGCAGGAAAUAAAAUUGAUGGCUACAUCGUACCACCUUAUUUUAAACUGAUUAAAGUGUUAAGAAUGACCAUGGACAUUUCCUCCUUGGUAUAAGAAUGCAUUCCCACAACUACAACAUCAGAUGAAAUUUUGCCAGUCCUGGCUGGGUCAGAAUUGUAAUUUGUGAAUACUACAGUAAAACGAAUUCUUAUUUCACUUGAUAAACUGAUCUUAUUCACUUCAAGUCCCGACUGUGGUCAAUUUUACAUUCAGCACCGUAUGUACAAUCUUUUAAGCGCUGGAGCUUGUAAGGCUAUACUUAGAUUGCUUUUAGCUCAUGUCAGCUUGAUGGUUUGUGCUAUGAAACAAAUGCCUUCUUUAUCAUGUCAACUGUAGUUUUUUUAGAAGCUUUUUUGCAUGUAGUAGACACUAAAAGUCUAGUCUUUUGUUGCAGUUUAUAUAUCGUGCAUCAAAGGGUAUCACCAGUCGGAAGAUUCCAGCUUAGUGCCGUCAACGUACUGACUGCUUCCCCUCUGAAUGCAUGUUUGCUCAUGCCUAAACAUGAUAUGAGUAGGAGUAAAAAACUUGUAUGUGGUAUAUUCAGUUGAUUAAUCUGGAUGGGCUGUAAGGUAGCCAUUUAUGUUUAGAGUACUUUCUCGGGUUCACGCCAAAGGGAGAUAAUGGUCUUACAUGUUGGCCUGUAUUUUGAUUUCCUGUAGUCUAAGAGGAGAGCUGAUUGUGCUCACGUAUUGUGUUUUUUUGCUGAGUUGUAUGUGCAAGUUAGGCUUUCAUCCUGUGCUGUUGUAUGUCAAAUUUGGUUGUGCUGUUGCAUAUGGUCCAGUUAUGCUGUAUGUGGAGGUUUGGCGCUUUGGUUCAGUGAAUCCAAACUAGGCUUUUGCAUGACUGGCCGCUAUUCCAUUGAGAUAUCAGUACAGGAAUGUUUACAAGCUUUAACUAAUGAGUUUAGACCGGGGAAUCUAUUCGAGCAACACAUAC